GCCGGGUGUGGUGGUGCAUGCCUGUAAUCCCAGCUACUCAGGAGGCUGAGGCAGGAGAAUUGCUUGAACCCGGGAGGCGGAGGUUGCAGUGAGCCGAUAUCACGCCACUGCAUACUCCAGCCUGGAUGACAGAGCAAGACUCCGUCUCAA
This is a non-coding RNA of Homo sapiens (human), 150 nucleotides long. It matches the Rfam family "Metazoan signal recognition particle RNA". From Rfam's summary of the family: The signal recognition particle (SRP) is a universally conserved ribonucleoprotein. The record is from Rfam. NCBI's taxonomy places the organism in Eukaryota, Metazoa, Chordata, Mammalia, Primates, Hominidae.